UACGGAGGGGGCUAGCGUUGUUCGGAAUUACUGGGCGUAAAGCGCACGUAGGCGGCUUUGUAGGUUAGAGGUGAAAGCCCGGGGCUCAACUCCGGAAUUGCCUUUAAGACUGCAUCGCUGGAAUUGUGGAGAGGUAAGUGGAAUUCCGAGUGUAGAGGUGAAAUUCGUAGAUAUUCGGAAGAACACCAGUGGCGAAGGCGACUUACUGGACACAUAUUGACGCUGAGGUGCGAAAGCGUGGGGAGCAAACAGG
RNAcentral lists this ribosomal RNA (253 nucleotides) under uncultured bacterium. RNAcentral's name for it is "partial 16S ribosomal RNA". It matches the Rfam family "Bacterial small subunit ribosomal RNA", at positions 524 to 776 of the family's 1533-position model. The record is from RNAcentral.